RNAcentral lists this ribosomal RNA (292 nucleotides) under uncultured bacterium. Its description in RNAcentral is "partial 16S ribosomal RNA". It matches the Rfam family "Bacterial small subunit ribosomal RNA", at positions 505 to 796 of the family's 1533-position model. The record is from RNAcentral.
GUGUCAGCCGCCGCGGUAACACGGGGGGAGCAAGCGUUGUUCGGAAUCACUGGGCGUAAAGGGCGUGUAGGCGGUCAGGUAAGUGGAAUGUGAAAGCCCCCGGCUCACCCGGGGAUCUGCAUCCCAUACUGCCUGGCUUGAGUACGGGAGAGGAUAGGGGAAUUCCUGGUGUAGCGGUGAAAUGCGUAGAUAUCAGGAGGAACACCGGUGGCGAAGGCGCCUAUCUGGCCCGAUACUGACGCUGAGGCGCGAAAGCUAGGGGAGCAAACGGGAUUAGAUACCCGCGUAGUCC